This 4836-nucleotide long non-coding RNA is filed under the name Apis mellifera (honey bee). RNAcentral's name for it is "uncharacterized LOC102653904". The record is from RNAcentral. Lineage: Eukaryota; Metazoa; Arthropoda; Insecta; Hymenoptera; Apidae.
CUUGCAAGAUAGUCAGGCAACAAGGAGCCGAUAUGAAAUGACGUGCACGUACAUGGCGGCUUGCCAGCGACUAGCACCCGCGCGGCUAGAGCAAAAAUUGGACCGCAUUCCUUGUGUUAACACAUCCUGCACACGGUGUUCCGCGAUGUUCUUCGAUCGUUUUUGUGAGAUUCCAUUGCCUUACGGGUUUUUACACCAUCCAAUGAACACUCGUUUGGUUUAUUACGGUAUUAACGUAAAAGAUAACAUAUCCGAUACUUGGCGAGCAACGAUCAGGAACGAAUAAGCGCGAAGGUAGCCGAAAGAUGGCGGAGAGAGACGGUAGAGAAGGGGAUUUCGAUUAAUUAGCAAUCCAAGAUGUUGCAUUACGAGAGCAGAUGUAGAUGGUAAUCAAGAUUAUCCCUGAUUUGUUUUGUCGGUAAAUUGCGCCUUUGGAUUUCGCGACCAGCAUCUUCAUUAAUCCUGAUCUUUCGAAUGUUUCGAUUCAAUCUUAUUCGUUGCGCGUACUGUGCACGUAAUAUGAGUGUAUCGAUAUCGAACUCGUAAUUUCGCGAUACAUCGAUUAAUUAUCGUAGGCAAAUUCAGUUCAGUGGGAUGUGUUGCGUUGUUCGUGUUCGUGUUGCGUUUCAUCUAGAAUUGUGAUUUUACGUUGGAUUUUUCUUGUGCAGAAGAAAGAAAAUAGAAAAUAGAAAAUAGAAAAAGGACGAGUGACUUGAGGUCUCCUGACAAGCCAUCUUUCUAAUUCCACGGUGGUCCGUUCCUUUGGGAUUUCGUCGCAAGUUUGGCAAACAGGACAUUGUGCUUGGACGACGAUCACGCUAAGGAGGGAGCUGUUACCGAACCGAACGACACGAAUGUCCCUCUCUAUUCUUCAGAGGAAGUUUAAGGUGGUGGAGGCGAGAUGGAUGGAGACCAAAGGCAAGAUGGAGGAGGAGGAGGAUUGAUCUUCACGGUUAAAGUAUCUCUCGAUGGAGCAGUUCGUCAUAGCUCGUCGACGGCCACGUUACGUAAAGCCGAUAAGCGAGAACCUGGACGCCUUCUCCCCUGCGGGAUCCUGAUCAUUCUUAGUGGAGGAAGCGGCGCAUGCUGCGGAAGGAAGGCGAAAGUGGAGAAGUGGCGAUGCUUGUAGGGCAUUAACGGAUUGAAGAGCGGCUGGCAAACUCGAGUGAAAUUGAAAGAAAAUAGGACGGUGGUAUCGAUUUCGUUUUCGCCCCUUUCACGUGUUCCGGAUUUUCUCUAUAUUUUUAUCUCAAAAAAAGAAAAAGAGAGAAAAGAGAUUGAUCGAUUGAUUGAUUGAUAAUUUGAAAUUUCGUGGCGAGAAAGAUCAUUGUACAGAUUAUUAUUAUCGAAAGGGAUGUAGGAUUGAAAGAAAGAUAAUAUAUUUACAUUGUUUGCAUUGCUUUUAUAUAAACAUUUUCUUAAAUUGCAAGUUUCUUUUAAAUUCAUAAAAAGGGAUAUAAAAUUGGAAGAAAAUAAGGUAUAUUAUACACGCUUUUGUAUAAACACUUUCUUAAAUUUACCUUCGAAUCUCGAGUUUGAGAAUCUUCAAAAUAAUUUCAAUUUUUCAAAGAUUGCACGAUGCAUGUUCAAUAUACGAUUCAAAAACGUGGAAUCAAGGAAGGAAAAGUAGAAUUCGUAGCCUGGAACCAUCCAAUUCAACCAUCACCGUCAUAGUUCCUCCACUUUUAUUCCCAAAGGGAGAUCCCCUUCUUUCGUUUCCAUUUAACUCGCGACAAGUUAACCCGCUGCCGAACAAAUGAUCGAUGACACAUCGAAACUGCAUCCCGUAUCAGCAUGCGUGUGGAUAAAUGGAUACGAAGAAUGGAGGAGGAAGGAGAGGAAAGAUAGGGCCGCUUGGACGAGAUUGGAUAGAAGUUUGGAAAUUCCAUCGAAAGUUUCGACGAUAGAUGCAUCAUAGGCGGAUUGUUUACGGACAGUGGGCGAAACAAGGGGCACGAAUUUUCCAUAAAGCGCCGUAAAUCGGGAAAGGGGCAAGUUUUCGAUACUCUCCCCCCUCGGGAGAAGAAUCCAAUCCCGUUCUUCCUCGUGGUUCGAACAAAUCACGUUUGGAUAUUUCGACGUGCGCGCCGAAUAUUUUCCAUCCGAACAUCCUUCUUUUUUCUUCUUCCUCGCGCAUGAUGUGUAUUCCGACGCGCCUCGCUCUUUCCUUUUCGUCAUAAUCCCAUACGAAUGUAAAAUUUAACGUUUGAAAUUUUUUAUUAAGUACUUUCUUGUACUUCGAGAAUUGGAAAUCGUUCGUGGAUUUCAAUUUUUCUCGACGAGUGGAUUUUCGUAUCAACGGAUAUAAUGAUCGAAAAUGCUUCAGAAAAACAAGUUGUAGUAAAAAUAUGAAAGCUAGAUAGUUCGUUGUUGAUAUCAUCGAAAUGUAACGAUAAGAUUGAAUUCGAUCUGCUCGUUCUAGUCUGGUGUCAAGUUUGCGCUCGUAACGACAUUGGAAAUAAUAUAAACUUCUUCUCCAUGUAAUAAACCGUGAUAAUUGUUUCCUAUAUUUCUCCACAACAUUCUUUUCUACUCACAGAACACAUCCUGUAUACGUGGAAUGGAAACACUGGAUUGUCAACAAAAGAAAUUUCAUCGAUCGAAAGACUAUCACGCAAUAAACGUCAAAAUUUUAUACUGAGACGUUUAACGGUUCGAGUAUAAUCAGAUUCAAAAUGAUGAACAGUAAACAACGUAUGGUAUAUAUAUAUAUAUAUAGAGGCGGAACAGGAUCGAGAUAAAGAGGGCAACGGUGACGAGGGUUGAGAAACGAACAGGCGGAGAGAAAGAAGCGAUGUACCGGGUGUAAAUUCAUUCAUGGAAAAAAAGCCAGGCAGACAGAAAGGACAGAGAGAGAGAGAAAGAGAAAGAGGGAGAGGUGCAUGCACGCUUGGGCCAUGGACGUCCGCCCACGGUUCCUCGCUCGCCAUUCACGAGUGGCGGAGUGGCGUGAAUGAAAACGCGCUUGCGUAGGUCCGAGUGCGUGCGUGUGCACGUGUCGUCAAGCGUUCGAACACGCGCGCCGAUGCACGUAUUCGAAAGCCUCUCCACGCUUGCUUUCGAUUUCGAGCCCGAGAAAGGAAUAAUGGAAUGCGCCGUGCCGAGUUUCUUCUUCCUCUUGUUCCAAGUUUCGAGUCGGGAGGGAGGGGGAAAUUUAUUGGAAUGUUGCUCCUUUUUAUCGCUUGUUUAUCGAUUUUCGAUUUGUUCGUUUUUUUUUUUUUAUUUAAUUAUUGGAAAGAAACUUGUACUUGUACGAUACAAAUCCUUUCUUCCCCAAAAAAAUUCAUUCCUUGAUCGAUCCAUGGGACGAAUAUAUAGUCAGAAUUAUUUUCAAAACACUUUUCAAUCUAUAGCCUUCACAGUAAAAUCUUCUUCCAUUCGAUUCACCUUCUCUCAAACUUUUAAUUUUCUCCUUCGACUCAAAAAUUCUCGAAUCAACAACAAACACAAAUCAUCUCCAAACUGUCCGUAAGAAAAACUUUUCCUCUUCGUACGAGCUUAUGAAAAAAUUUCCAAAUCGACGAAACAAGCACGCUGCAACAUCGAACACAUCUUCGCCACUUCCAACGCAAAACCAUCCCCCACGAGAUGUCCCCUGAUCCAGAUAAACAAGCAAAAACAUACACACACAUACACACGCGUCGAGAAUCACGCAACACGAUUCGGUUUCUCCGCUCAUUGUUCGAGUUCCCGGUUUCCGUGGAACGGGUUUUCGUGCGUAAAAAAAAAAAAGAGAGAAAAAAGGGGGAAAAAGAGAAAGAGAGAAAAAAAGAGAGACGAAGAGAGGCCUGGACAAGCAACGACACGACAGCGAGAUAUUUGCAUAUCCGCUGUCAACUCUCGUCACGCUGGCGAGCAAUAAGCGGCAAGGUCAUUCACACUGGCGCGCCGUUUGUUCAAUGAGCUCCCUCCCUCCCCUCUUCCUCUCCUCUUCCACUCGUUUAAUCCUACGCUGUCAGCUGUCGAAGACGCGUGCUCCUUUUACCGAAGAAGAAUCGUCAUUGUUUCCACCGCCACGGUGGUGUAACGGCCUGCGCCAGAGAAUUCGUUUCGCAUUGUUCAAUGCCCAAUCACGUGACGAUGAUUUUGCCGCCGGUUUCACGCCUGGUUUAACGUGAAUGUCCCGCGUUUUUAUUACGGCGCGUAAUACGCGGGAGGGGGGAGGGCGAGGAAAAGGAAGAGGAGGAGGAGGAGGAGGAGGUGGUGGAGGAUAGGAGGGCGAAAAAUGGUAAUUGCGCUUGUGAAUGAGAGUCGAAGAGAAAGAGAGAGAGAGAGAGAGAGGGGGAAGGGAGAGUUAUUGGCUUCGGCCUUAGCGAGCGGAGAUGCACGCGAGAAACACGUUUCUUCGGUGGAGGAAGCUUUUGACGGAAUUUUCUUUCUCCUUUUUUUCUUUCUUUCAUCGACGAGAGAAAUAUUCCUCGAGGAUUCUCCCUUUUAGUUCUCCUUUACGCGUGAUUGAGAUUUGGAUUUUUGAAACGUGAUGAUGCGAAUCCUAUAUAUUGUAGGAGACUGGAGAAAUAAUCGGGGAUGAACAAAAAUUCGUAUGAUAUUAAUUCGAUCUCUGAUAUGUUAUUCUUAACAUUCAGUAGAAAAGUAAUUGUAAUUUCGAUCGUAACGUAACUCUUUAUUUUUUCGUUCGUACAGCACGAAACAACACGGUUAAACAACAACUGCAACAGUUCACAGUUAUGAUAAGAACGACUCGGUUAGGCUUCGCUCGCCAUCGAGGCGGGAAAAAAGAAAAAAAAAAUGAAAUUAAAUAAAGUUCUAGCUUUAGCAUUGUAUUUGGAAAAAAGCAAUAUAUUUUAUACACCACGUUUAAAAAAAAAAAAAAAA